RNAcentral lists this long non-coding RNA (477 nucleotides) under Citrus x clementina. Its description in RNAcentral is "Citrus clementina (C. clementina) long non-coding RNA (CCLE_LNC004327)". The record is from RNAcentral. Lineage: Eukaryota; Viridiplantae; Streptophyta; Magnoliopsida; Sapindales; Rutaceae.
GAAACUCAUAGGAGUAAAACUAAUAGAGCAUAACAAACCUCAUCAUUUUUUUGAGGUUCCUCUUGUAUGAGAAUCUAGCAGAGAGUUUCAUGUAGUGUUUUUGUGAGGUACGAAGUAGGUGUCCCGAGCAACAUCAAUCAUUUUCGAGAUUAGAAGCGGGAAUAGUUUGGUUAAAAGUCUGUCCAAAAUCAAUAAGUUUUUUUUUUUCCUUAUUAUAACCUAAGUAUGUGAGAAAUGUUAGGGACAAAUUAAAAUAAAAGCAAAACAUAAUACCUGCAGUUUCAAAAUUUAUACUCAUGAUAUUGCACAAAUGAUGGACAAGGGAGAACGUAAUUGGGUGAUUACAACUUUCGUUUGAGAGAGAGUGUCUAUUUUAAAACGUUGGUGACAGGGCAGCCAAAUAUAGACAAUUAGACAUUGCAUCUCUAUUAGCAUCAAAGCCUUUGUCAGCAUGAAAAUGGAAGAAUUAGUGCAUAG